GGGUUGGGCUGUUCGCCCAUUAAAGUGGCACGCGAGCUGGGUUCAGAACGUCGUGAGACAGUUCGGCCCCUAUUUGUUGUGGGCGUUGGAAAUUUGAGAGGAGCUGACUCUAGUACGAGAGGACCGAGUUGGACGAACCUCUGGUCUAUCUGUUGUGACGCCAGUUGCAUUGCAGAGUAGCUACGUUCGGACUGGAUAAGUACUGAAAGCAUAUAAGUACGAAGCCAACCUCAAGAUGAGAUUUCCCUUAAGGGUCGUUAAAGAUGAUGACGUUGAUAGGUUGCAAGUGUAAAGGCAGUGAUGUCAAAGCUGAGCAAUACUAAUUACCCGUGAGCUUUCUAACU
This 344-nucleotide ribosomal RNA is filed under the name Flavobacteriales bacterium. Its description in RNAcentral is "partial 23S ribosomal RNA". It matches the Rfam family "Bacterial large subunit ribosomal RNA", at positions 2569 to 2925 of the family's 2925-position model. The record is from RNAcentral. Lineage: Bacteria; Pseudomonadati; Bacteroidota; Flavobacteriia; Flavobacteriales.